CAGAAUGUAGCUUAUAUAAAGCUAAUUAUUUACAUUAAUAAGAAAAUUAAUAAUUUUUUCUGA
Molecule: transfer RNA, 63 nt
Filed under: Hiratettix distanti
Lineage: Eukaryota; Metazoa; Arthropoda; Insecta; Hemiptera; Cicadellidae
Also listed under: 2 other names
Description: tRNA-Val
Source: RNAcentral